RNAcentral lists this ribosomal RNA (1372 nucleotides) under uncultured bacterium. RNAcentral's name for it is "bacterial SSU rRNA". It matches the Rfam family "Bacterial small subunit ribosomal RNA", at positions 28 to 1381 of the family's 1533-position model. The record is from RNAcentral.
GAUGAACGCUGGCGGCGUGCCUAAUACAUGCAAGUCGAGCGAACGGACGAGAAGCUUGCUUCUCUGAUGUUAGCGGCGGACGGGUGAGUAACACGUGGAUAACCUACCUAUAAGACUGGGAUAACUUCGGGAAACCGGAGCUAAUACCGGAUAAUAUUUUGAACCGCAUGGUUCAAAAGUGAAAGACGGUCUUGCUGUCACUUAUAGAUGGAUCCGCGCUGCAUUAGCUAGUUGGUAAGGUAACGGCUUACCAAGGCAACGAUGCAUAGCCGACCUGAGAGGGUGAUCGGCCACACUGGAACUGAGACACGGUCCAGACUCCUACGGGAGGCAGCAGUAGGGAAUCUUCCGCAAUGGGCGAAAGCCUGACGGAGCAACGCCGCGUGAGUGAUGAAGGUCUUCGGAUCGUAAAACUCUGUUAUUAGGGAAGAACAUAUGUGUAAGUAACUGUGCACAUCUUGACGGUACCUAAUCAGAAAGCCACGGCUAACUACGUGCCAGCAGCCGCGGUAAUACGUAGGUGGCAAGCGUUAUCCGGAAUUAUUGGGCGUAAAGCGCGCGUAGGCGGUUUUUUAAGUCUGAUGUGAAAGCCCACGGCUCAACCGUGGAGGGUCAUUGGAAACUGGAAAACUUGAGUGCAGAAGAGGAAAGUGGAAUUCCAUGUGUAGCGGUGAAAUGCGCAGAGAUAUGGAGGAACACCAGUGGCGAAGGCGACUUUCUGGUCUGUAACUGACGCUGAUGUGCGAAAGCGUGGGGAUCAAACAGGAUUAGAUACCCUGGUAGUCCACGCCGUAAACGAUGAGUGCUAAGUGUUAGGGGGUUUCCGCCCCUUAGUGCUGCAGCUAACGCAUUGAGCACUCCGCCUGGGGAGUACGACCGCAAGGUUGAAACUCAAAGGAAUUGACGGGGACCCGCACAAGCGGUGGAGCAUGUGGUUUAAUUCGAAGCAACGCGAAGAACCUUACCAAAUCUUGACAUCCUUUGACAACUCUAGAGAUAGAGCCUUCCCCUUCGGGGGACAAAGUGACAGGUGGUGCAUGGUUGUCGUCAGCUCGUGUCGUGAGAUGUUGGGUUAAGUCCCGCAACGAGCGCAACCCUUAAGCUUAGUUGCCAUCAUUAAGUUGGGCACUCUAAGUUGACUGCCGGUGACAAACCGGAGGAAGGUGGGGAUGACGUCAAAUCAUCAUGCCCCUUAUGAUUUGGGCUACACACGUGCUACAAUGGACAAUACAAAGGGCAGCGAAACCGCGAGGUCAAGCAAAUCCCAUAAAGUUGUUCUCAGUUCGGAUUGUAGUCUGCAACUCGACUACAUGAAGCUGGAAUCGCUAGUAAUCGUAGAUCAGCAUGCUACGGUGAAUACGUUCCCGGGUCU